CCCUAAAGGAUUUUGGUUCAAGAUGUCCUACUGUGUUACAGCAGAACCUCUGGUCCAAUAGUCAUACUGGGUUACAGAACCUCUGGUCCAGCAGUCCUACUGGGUUACAGCAGACCCUCAGGUCCAGCAGUCCUACUGGGUUAUAGAACCUCUGGUCCAGCAGUCCUACUGGGUUAUAGAACCUCUGAUCCAGCAGUCCUACUGUGUUAUAGAACCUCUGGUCCAGAAGUCCUACUGGGUUAUAGGACCUCUGGUCCAGCAGUCCUACUGGGUUAUAGAACCUCUGGUCCAGCAGUCCUACUGGGUUAUAGAACCUCUGGUCCAGCAGUCCUACUGGGUUAUAGGACCUCUGGUCCAGCAGUCCUACUGGGUUAUAGAACCUCUGGUCCAGCAGUCCUACUGGGUUAUAGAACCUCUGGUCCAGCAGUCCUUCUGGGUUAUAGAACCUCUGGUCCAGCAGUCCUACUGGGUUAUAGAACUUCUGGUCCAGCAGUCCUACUGGGUUAUAGGACCUCUGGUCCAGCAGUCCUACUGGGUUAUAGAACCUCUGGUCCAGCAGUCCUACUGGGUUACAGCAGAACCUCUGGUCCAGCAGUCCUACUGGGUUAUAGAACCUCUGGUCCAGCAGUCCUACUGGGUUAUAGGACCUCUGGUCCAGCAGUACUACUGGGUUAUAGAACCUCUGGUCCAGCAGUCCUACUGGGUUACAGCAGAACCUCUGGUCCAGCAGUCCUACUGGGUUAUAGAACCUCUGGUCCAGCAGUCCUACUGGGUUAUAGAACCUCUGGUCCAGCAGUCCUACUGGGUUAUAGAACCUCUGGUCCAGCAGUCCUACUGGGUUAUAGAACCUCUGGUCCAGCAGUCCUACUGGGUUAUAGAACCUCUGGUCCAGCAGUCCUACUGGGUUAUAGGACCUUUGGUCCAGCAGUCCUACUGGGUUAUAGAACCUCUGGUCCAGCAGUCCUACUGGGUUAUAGAACCUCUGGUCCAGCAGUCCUACUGGGUUAUAGAACCUCUGGUCCAGCAGUCCUUCUGGGUUAUAGAACCUCUGGUCCAGCAGUCCUACUGGGUUAUAUAACCUCUGGUCCAGCAGUCCUACUGGGUUAUAGAACCUCUGGUCCAGCAGUCCUACUGGGUUACAGCAGAACCUCUGGUCCAGCAGUCCUACUGGCUUAGAGCAGAACCCCUGGAUGAAAACCCCCUGGGGGAGUGUUACGCCUCGUUUC
Molecule: long non-coding RNA, 1226 nt
Filed under: Gadus morhua (Atlantic cod)
Lineage: Eukaryota; Metazoa; Chordata; Actinopteri; Gadiformes; Gadidae
Description: lncRNA (ENSGMOG00000028744.1)
Source: RNAcentral